AGUGAACGCUGGCGGUAGGCCUAACACAUGCAAGUCGAACGGCAGCACAGUAAGAGCUUGCUCUUACGGGUGGCGAGUGGCGGACGGGUGAGGAAUACAUCGGAAUCUGCUUUUUCGUGGGGGAUAACGUAGGGAAACUUACGCUAAUACCGCAUACGACCUACGGGUGAAAGCAGGGGAUCUUCGGACCUUGCGCGAUUGAAUGAGCCGAUGUCGGAUUAGCUAGUUGGCGGGGUAAAGGCCCACCAAGGCGACGAUCCGUAGCUGGUCUGAGAGGAUGAUCAGCCACACUGGAACUGAGACACGGUCCAGACUCCUACGGGAGGCAGCAGUGGGGAAUAUUGGACAAUGGGUGCAAGCCUGAUCCAGCCAUACCGCGUGGGUGAAGAAGGCCUUCGGGUUGUAAAGCCCUUUUGUUGGGAAAGAAAAGCAGCAGGUUAAUACCCCGCUGUUCUGACGGUACCCAAAGAAUAAGCACCGGCUAACUUCGUG
This 492-nucleotide ribosomal RNA is filed under the name uncultured bacterium. Its description in RNAcentral is "partial 16S ribosomal RNA". It matches the Rfam family "Bacterial small subunit ribosomal RNA", at positions 29 to 507 of the family's 1533-position model. The record is from RNAcentral.